This 423-nucleotide ribosomal RNA is filed under the name uncultured bacterium. RNAcentral describes it as "bacterial SSU rRNA". It matches the Rfam family "Bacterial small subunit ribosomal RNA", at positions 958 to 1398 of the family's 1533-position model. The record is from RNAcentral.
AACGCGAAGAACCUUACCAGGGUUUGACAUACAUGUGACAUCCUUCGAAAGAGGGCUCCCUUCGGGGCACAUGAACAGGUGCUGCAUGGCUGUCGUCAGCUCGUGUCGUGAGAUGUUGGGUUCAGUCCCGCAACGAGCGCAACCCCUACUGUUAGUUAAAAUGUCUAGCAGGACUGCCAUUUAAAAGUGGAAGAAGGUGGGGAUGACGUCAAGUCAGCACGGCCCUUACAUCCUGGGCUACACACACGCUACAAUGGCCAGAACAAUGGGCUGCCAACCCGCAAGGGGGAGCCAAUCCUAUCAAAACUGGUCCCAGUUCAGAUUGUAGGCUGCAACCCGCCUGCAUGAAGAUGGAGUUGCUAGUAACCGUAGGUCAGCACACUACGGUGAAUACGUUCCCGGGCCUUGUACACACCGGAGUGC